RNAcentral lists this ribosomal RNA (253 nucleotides) under uncultured bacterium. RNAcentral's name for it is "partial 16S ribosomal RNA". It matches the Rfam family "Bacterial small subunit ribosomal RNA", at positions 524 to 776 of the family's 1533-position model. The record is from RNAcentral.
GACAGAGGUGCCAAGCGUUAGGCGGAAUCACUGGGCUUAAAGCGUGUGUAGGCGGAAUGGUAAGUACCUUGUGAAAUCCCACGGCUCAACCGUGGAACUGCUUGGUAUACUGCUUUUCUUGAGCCACUUAGGGGCAACCGGAACAAACGGUGGAGCGGUGAAAUGCGUAGAUAUCGGAAGGAACACCGGUGGCGAAAGCGGCGCGCUGGACCUCUUCUGACGCUGAGGCGCGAAAGCCAGGGGAGCAAACGGG